CUGAAUGAUGCUCAUGCUAGGGCAGUUGUCCCUGACGGUCUAUUAAAAAAGUUACCUUGGGUCUGAAGUACUGACCAUUAUUUUAAUAACAGGCAAUACAAUUAUUUUUACCUUAACUUUUUUUAAUAAUGCAAAACAACAACCAUGUAAAUGGUAGGGCACUUAUAUAGUUGUUUCGAUUGGUUUAUGUUUUUUUGGUUGCAAUGCAAUUGGCGUUUGCCAGUAAAAACGACAUAUAUUAUGCAAUUUUAACACGCUCCCUUAACUGAGAACACACGGAGAAACCGCAAUAUACAUGGCUGUUCCGUCUUUUUAAAAUGUAACCGAACAGAGGAAACAGGGAGUGUUGCUUGUUCUGUAUCGCCAACAGAUUCAGAAUAUGCAAUUGCUGUCUUUCUGGCAGGUUUCGUGGAUGAGUGUUGAGCAGCUGCAGGGAUAUAUCUUUAUUCAGAGCAACCUCCGAAGCAGAAUGCGGCGCUAAUGCGCAUACUACACUGAUUCCUUACCACUGUUUGGAAAAAAACAGAACAGAUUGUAAUCGGUCGCAGAAGGCGGGAAGCAACAGAAGGCGUAGAAAGUUACUACCUACGCGGCAACAGUCAGCAUCACUGGACUUAAUUUUCAGAUCAGUUUAUGCCUUUGCAUCUCUGUGUUCAAGUUUCAAGAAGUUAAGACAGAGUUAAGGAAGAUAACUGGAGAUGUGAAAAAGAUACCAGGUUUCUGGUUCCAAAAUGAUCUGGAAGUGACAAGUCUGAUGAGCCAGAGCUUGAUGCUGUUGCAGUGGGCCUCCUUACUGUCAUCAGUGACCAUGACACAAGUCCAGCUCACUACCACCCUGUGAGAAUCUCUGUUGUUGUUGAAAGUGAUGCCGUGGUCAGCCUCCCCAGACUUGGUGAUGCCUUCCUGGUAAUCUUUGGACUGAUCUUUGCACUACACCUCAGCUAUCCCAUAGCACUGACAAACACUUUUGAAUUCACUCAAAAGAUUUUACUUGGUCUAGAUAGUGGUAAACUGUCACCCAGUUUGCAGACCCUCAAGAAUGACUUGUAGAAACUCAUCUGAAAGAAGGCUAAAGCAUUAUAAAAGGCUAGUUGAAAGUUAUGUCCUUUUGUCUAAAUAAUGCCUCAAAAAGAUACUGCACUACUUUGCAGGUGUUCAGCCAAUAGGCACAAACUACACAAUAUGCCUUUGUUCUCAUUAAUAUGAUGCAAAGGUAAUGCUAAUGUUUUGUAUGUUUUAAUGUUUUUCUCAACCAUUGUGGCCUGCGCAGGAUGACCCUCAUUUCACUGUGCUUUUGAUACUGGUUAAUGUAAUAAAUUUACAUUUUAGAGUUUCAAGUGAAAAUGUUAUUACAGUCUAUAGAAUUUUUGUAAUUUCAUCCAAAUGCCCUGUUGUCUUACUCAGGAAUUUGCCAGGAAGCCAAAAGCACAGUUUUUUCAUUUAUAGCUGUAAUGAAAUAAUUAAAUUUUGGUAUUAUUUGAUAUUGUUUAUUAUUGUUUUUGAUUACUCCGAUUAUUUUCCUGACUAUCUGAUUAGUUGUCUGGUCAAUAUCAGAAAUGUGUAAUAAAUACCUAUUUCCUAGGGCCUUAAGUGACCAGGAACUCAUUUGAAAGGCUAGAAUCAGAAUUUUGAGUUUCUUCAUAAAAUAUAUUUUGUUAUUAUUAUUAAAUUACUAUUUAUUUUUAUUUAUAAAUGUUUAUUUUUCUAUUUCAUUUUAACAUUGCAGUGUGCUAAGAGCGAGCAGGCAAGAAAAUACUGUUCAAUAGCAGACGUUCAUGACUUUUAGAAAUAUUAAAUUUGUUAAACUCAAUGUAAUUGAGGCAAUUAUGUAAACAAACUCAACAUAUUUGACUAAUGUGUACUUAAA
Long non-coding RNA from Esox lucius (northern pike), 1867 nucleotides. RefSeq lists it as uncharacterized. The transcript is spliced from 5 exons. The record is from RefSeq and is a predicted model, not a curated record. Lineage: Eukaryota; Metazoa; Chordata; Actinopteri; Esociformes; Esocidae.